AAAAAGGCAAACCCUGGUUUUCCGUGCCAACGUUUGACUGUCCGUCUUAUAUGAAAUUUUUUUAUAAUUAGUAUUUUCAUUGUUGUUAGAUGAUAAAACAUGAUUAAUACUUUAUGCGUGACUUGUCUUUUUAUUUUUUUCAUAAUUUUUUCAAAUAAGACGGACGAUCAAACGUUGCACACGGAUACCAGAGUUUGUCUUUUUU
This is a non-coding RNA of Oryza glumipatula, 205 nucleotides long. The record is from Rfam. NCBI's taxonomy places the organism in Eukaryota, Viridiplantae, Streptophyta, Magnoliopsida, Poales, Poaceae.